GGGGAAUAUUGCACAAUGGGGGAAACCCUGAUGCAGCGACGCCGCGUGGAGGAAGAAGGUCUUCGGAUUGUAAACUCCUGUUGUUGAGGAAGAUAAUGACGGUACUCAGCAAGGAAGUGACGGCUAACUACGUGCCAGCAGCCGCGGUAAAACGUAGGUCACAAGCGUUGUCCGGAAUUACUGGGUGUAAAGGGAGCGCAGGCGGGAGAACAAGUUGGAAGUGAAAUCCAUGGGCUCAACCCAUGAACUGCUUUCAAAACUGUUUUUCUUGAGUAGUGCAGAGGUAGGCGGAAUUCCCGGUGUAGCGGUGGAAUGCGUAGAUAUCGGGAGGAACACCAGUGGCGAAGGCGGCCUACUGGGCACCAACUGACGCUGAGGCUCGAAAGUGUGGGUAGCAAACAGGAUUAGAUACCCUGGUAGUCCACACCGUAAACGAUGAUUACUAGGUGUUGGAGGAUUGACCCCUUCAGUGCCGCAGUUAACACAAUAAGUAAUCCACCUGGGGAGUACGACCGCAAGGUUGAAACUCAAAGGAAUUGACGGGGGCCCGCACAAGCAGUGGAGUAUGUGGUUUAAUUCGACGCAACGCGAAGAACCUUACCAAGUCUUGACAUCCCUUGACGAUGCUGGAAACAGCAUUUCUCUUCGGAGCAAGGAGACAGGUGGUGCAUGGUUGUCGUCAGCUCGUGUCGUGAGAUGUUGGGUUAAGUCCCGCAACGAGCGCAACCCUUAUGGUCAGUUACUACGCAAGAGGACUCUGGCCAGACUGCCGUUGACAAAACGGAGGAAGGUGGGGAUGACGUCAAAUCAUCAUGCCCUUUAUGACUUGGGCUACACACGUACUACAAUGGCGUUAAACAAAGAGAAGCAAGACCGCGAGGUGGAGCAAAACUCAGAAACAACGUCCCAGUUCGGACUGCAGGCUGCAACUCGCCUGCACGAAGUCGGAAUUGCUAGUAAUCGCAGAUCAGCAUGCCACGGUGAAUACGUUCCCG
This 995-nucleotide ribosomal RNA is filed under the name uncultured bacterium. RNAcentral's name for it is "bacterial SSU rRNA". It matches the Rfam family "Bacterial small subunit ribosomal RNA", at positions 356 to 1376 of the family's 1533-position model. The record is from RNAcentral.